Molecule: ribosomal RNA, 253 nt
Filed under: uncultured bacterium
Lineage: Bacteria
Description: partial 16S ribosomal RNA
Rfam family: Bacterial small subunit ribosomal RNA
Source: RNAcentral
UACGAAGGGUGCAAGCGUUACUCGGAAUUACUGGGCGGAAAGCGUGCGUAGGUGGUUUGUUAAGUCUGUUGUGAAAGCCCCGGGCUCAACCUGGGAAUGGCAAUGGAUACUGGCAAGCUAGAGUGCGGUAGAGGGUAGUGGAAUUCCCGGUGUAGCGGUGAAAUGCGCAGAUAUCAGGAAGAACACCCGUGGCGAAGGCGGCUCUCUGGGACGGUACUGACGCUGAGACGCGAAAGCGUGGGGAGCGAACAGG